AGUGAACGCUGGCGGUAGGCCUAACACAUGCAAGUCGAACGGCAGCACAGUAAGAGCUUGCUCUUACGGGUGGCGAGUGGCGGACGGGUGAGGAAUACAUCGGAAUCUACUUUUUCGUGGGGGAUAACGUAGGGAAACUUACGCUAAUACCGCAUACGACCUACGGGUGGAAGCAGGGGAUCUUCGGACCUUGCGCGAUUGAAUGAGCCGAUGUCGGAUUAGCUAGUUGGCGGGGUAAAGGCCCACCAAGGCGACGAUCCGUAGCUGGUCUGAGAGGAUGAUCAGCCACACUGGAACUGAGACACGGUCCAGACUCCUACGGGAGGCAGCAGUGGGGAAUAUUGGACAAUGGGCGCAAGCCUGAUCCAGCCAUACCGCGUGGGUGAAGAAGGCCUUCGGGUUGUAAAGCCCUUUUGUUCGGAAAGAAAAGCAGCAGGUUAAUACCCCGCUGUUCUGACGGUACCCAAAGAAUAAGCACCGGCUAACUUCGUG
Molecule: ribosomal RNA, 492 nt
Filed under: uncultured bacterium
Lineage: Bacteria
Description: partial 16S ribosomal RNA
Rfam family: Bacterial small subunit ribosomal RNA
Source: RNAcentral